CUACGGAGGGUGCAAGCGUUGUUCGGAAUUACUGGGCGUAAAGCGCGCGUAGGCGGUCUGUUAUGUCAGAUGUGAAAGUCCUCGGCUCAACCGGGGAAGUGCAUUUGAAACUGGCAGACUUGAGUACUGGAGGGGGUGGUGGAAUUCCCGGUGUAGAGGUGAAACUCGUAGAUAUCGGGAGGAAUACCGGUGGCGAAGGCGACCACCUGGCCAGAUACUGACGCUGAGGUGCGAAAGCGUGGGGAGCAAACAGGAUUAGAUACCCCAGUAGUCC
This 274-nucleotide ribosomal RNA is filed under the name uncultured bacterium. RNAcentral describes it as "partial 16S ribosomal RNA". It matches the Rfam family "Bacterial small subunit ribosomal RNA", at positions 523 to 796 of the family's 1533-position model. The record is from RNAcentral.